Long non-coding RNA from Herpailurus yagouaroundi (jaguarundi), 533 nucleotides. RefSeq lists it as uncharacterized. The record is from RefSeq and is a predicted model, not a curated record. The transcript is spliced from 2 exons. Lineage: Eukaryota; Metazoa; Chordata; Mammalia; Carnivora; Felidae.
CUAAGCCGAAGUUGGAUGCUCAACCGACUGAGCCACCCAGGAGACCCUAGUGUCUCUACUCUCAACCAUGAGAAUAUACAGUCUCUCCAGGUAAGGUGGAUGGGAUUGAAAAAACAAUUGACAAGAAAAAAUGUUAUCAUUAUACAAUUUUGUGGUUAUGCAAAGAAUAUCUUUACCAUUUAUUAUCACAUAAACGUUGACUUUAAUUGUAUGAACACUGUGAUAUGAUUAGGUCGGCAAGAUGUCAGAUGGAAUGUUCAGUGGGUUAAGAUUUCAGACUACAUGAAACAAAAGAUAAUGUACAAUGAAUACAGUCAACAGAUCGGGAAAUAACAGCAUAAGAAUAUUAUUUGAAAAUAUGGAGGUAAUAAGGGAAAACUGCUAAAAUCAUUGAAAGUGUUUGGCUCUGGAGAGGGGAUUGAAAAGUAGGGUGUGGAGAAGGGAGAUGCUAUUUUUCAUUUUAUGUUUUGUCAUGUUUUUGACAUUAAAAAAACAAAAACCACUGUGCCUAUGUGAAUUUAGCAGAAAUAAAG